AUGAACGCUGGCGGCGUGCCUAAUACAUGCAAGUCGCGCGAACAGACGAGGAGCUUGCUCCUCUGACGUUAGCGGCGGACGGGUGAGUAACACGUGGAUAACCUACCUAUAAGACUGGGAUAACUUCGGGAAACCGGAGCUAAUACCGGAUAAUAUAUUGAACCGCAUGGUUCAAUAGUGAAAGACGGUUUUGCUGUCACUUAUAGAUGGAUCCGCGCCGCAUUAGCUAGUUGGUAAGGUAACGGCUUACCAAGGCAACGAUGCGUAGCCGACCUGAGAGGGUGAUCGGCCACACUGGAACUGAGACACGGUCCAGACUCCUACGGGAGGCAGUAGUAGGGAAUCUUCCGCAAUGGGCGAAAGCCUGACGGAGCAACGCCGCGUGAGUGAUGAAGGUCUUCGGAUCGUAAAACUCUGUUAUUAGGGAAGAACAAAUGUGUAAGUAACUAUGCACGUCUUGACGGUACCUAAUCAGAAAGCCACGGCUAACUACGUG
This 496-nucleotide ribosomal RNA is filed under the name uncultured bacterium. RNAcentral describes it as "partial 16S ribosomal RNA". It matches the Rfam family "Bacterial small subunit ribosomal RNA", at positions 29 to 507 of the family's 1533-position model. The record is from RNAcentral.